Molecule: long non-coding RNA, 242 nt
Filed under: Volvox carteri
Lineage: Eukaryota; Viridiplantae; Chlorophyta; Chlorophyceae; Chlamydomonadales; Volvocaceae
Description: long non-coding RNA (VCAR_LNC000286)
Source: RNAcentral
GACUGACCUCCUCAAGCAAUCCUGUCUGGACCUCAUCUCCGCCAACAACGAGUCCUUCACGAAGCGUUCCGAGCUCAGCAUCAUCCUGCUGAUCAGUGUCGAGAUCUUCAUCUCCCUCACCGACAUGCACUCCGCGCUGAGCGUGGACAACAUGGCGCGAGUAGUGGACUUGGUGACCGCGGGUCUGGGGGGGGGCCCUGAUGCGGGGGGGUUACCGAAGGGCGGCGUCUGAUUGACUUGGG